GUGAAGUUUUCAUGCUUCAAUCAUCCAUCUACACACAUAUAUCUCAAUAUAGAGUCUAGAUCCAUAAGAUUAGAACACUUACUCAAGUAAAUCAAAGAGAAAAAUAAAAUCUUCUUUCCAAUCUUCAAGCUUGUAUCUCCACUAAUCUUCUAGGCUUUACCAAGGAAAUAGAGGUGUUUAGAUCAAUAUCAUUGGAAGACUUGGUGUAGAGAUGAUCUAAAAAGCUUGGUGUUCUUCGAUCAUGGAGGAUUAAUGGAGGAAAGGAAGAUUAGAGAGAGAAACUGAAGAGGCCGUGAGUUAGGGAGGAAGUGAGAAGAAAGAGAAAGUAUUUUGUUUAAAAUCAUCCACUUGCUUCCAAGCUUAGCCAACAAGUAAAUGCUCAAGCUUAUCCACUAAGCCACUUGAUUAAAACACACAUGUCUAAUUGAUUAUAAUAAUCAAGUGAGAGUGUAGUAUUGUGUGGUGAAAAAUAAACCAUGUGUUAAGCCACACGAAUUAAAUCAUGGAAGACUAGUCACAAUUAAUGAAAUGCCAUAGCAUAAUUAUUCAUGUAACC
Molecule: long non-coding RNA, 556 nt
Filed under: Salvia miltiorrhiza (redroot sage)
Lineage: Eukaryota; Viridiplantae; Streptophyta; Magnoliopsida; Lamiales; Lamiaceae
Description: long non-coding RNA (SMIL_LNC013187)
Source: RNAcentral